This 253-nucleotide ribosomal RNA is filed under the name uncultured bacterium. RNAcentral describes it as "partial 16S ribosomal RNA". It matches the Rfam family "Bacterial small subunit ribosomal RNA", at positions 524 to 776 of the family's 1533-position model. The record is from RNAcentral.
UACGAAGGGGGCUAGCGUUGCUCGGAAUCACUGGGCGUAAAGCGUGCGUAGACGGCUCUCUCAGUCGGUUGUGAAAGCCCCGGGCUCAACCUGGGAAUUGCAUUCGAGACUGAAUAGCUAGGGUACGGUAGAGGGAAGCGGAAUUUCCGGUGUAGCGGUGAAAUGCGUAGAUAUCGGAAGGAACAUCAGUGGCGAAAGCGGCUUCCUGGACCAGUACCGACGUUCAGGCACGAAAGCGUGGGGAGCAAACAGG